AAUUAAAGGCAAAUGUGGGAUCCUUGAAUUUUGUGUUCGUAAAAAAGGCGAAGAAAUAUUUACAUACAUGGCAGUGUUAACAAAAUCUAUAAGUAUUUUUGUUGGUCACAUUUCAGUAUAUGGGACUUCCAAACUGUUCCCUUUGUUUUGAAGGUUGUGAAGUCGGCAACUGUAGUUUCAGUUUGUUCGUUUUUUAACGGGCC
This 203-nucleotide long non-coding RNA is filed under the name Mytilus galloprovincialis (Mediterranean mussel). Lineage: Eukaryota; Metazoa; Mollusca; Bivalvia; Mytilida; Mytilidae. The record is from RNAcentral.